GUUAAGAUAUGACUUGCUCCUCCUUGUCUUCCGCCAUUAUUGUGAGGCCUCCCCAGCCAUGUGAAACUAUAAAUGUUUCAGAGUGCUGCCAACAACCAUCCUGCAACCAUGAGUGGCAAGCCCAAGAUCAAAAACCAAAUAUUGAGGAUGGCAAAGAAAAAAGAAAGAGACUGGGCUGUUGCGGACAUCACUGAGCCACCUUGCCAAACCUGGAGGAGGAAGAGGCAGAGCAAGACGGCUCAAUAGAAGACUCCACCGACUGUCCUCCCCACUGGAACACCAAAUUGAACAACUAUCCACACAAAGAAGCACCUUCAUAACAACCAAAAAUCAGGUGCCAGACAGAAAGUCAUCUCUCUGCUCAUCUGAGACAAAGGCAGAUUCAUUGAGCCAGACUAAGGCGUAAGUGACUAUUCCUUUUUGUUCCCCAACAUGUAAAUUGUGUAUUCAGUGAAAGGCUGAUCAAAGAGUCAGAAGAAUGUAACUUUGUGUCUCUUAUCUACCUGGAACCACACCUUAUCUACCUGGAACUAUCUCCUCCCCAUCCCUCCCCAUCCCGCCGUGUUUUGAGUUGUCCUGCCUUUCUGGACCAAAUCAAUGUAUAUCUUACACAUAUUGAUUGAUGUCUCAUGUCUCCCUAAAUGUGUAAAAGUGAGCGGUACCCUGACCACCUUGAGCACGUGUUGCCAGGACACAGCCUCCUGAGGGUACAUCCUUAACCUUGGCAAAAUAAACUUUCUAAAUUGAUUGAGGCCUGUCUCAGACACUUUGAGUUCAUAAUACACGAAAACUAAAAAGCAAGAAAUUAAAAGAUACCACCAGAGAAAAUCGCAUUCACUAAAAGGAAGACCACAAAACAAUCAGAAAACAAAUAACAAAAUGGCAGGCAUAAGUCCUUGCUUAUCAAAAAUAACAUUGAAUGCAAAUGAAAUAAACUCUCCAAUCAAAAGACAUAUCAUGGCUGAAUGGAUUUAAAAACAAGACCCAAUGAUCUGUUGCCUAUAAGAAACACAUUUCAUCUAUAAAUAUACAUAUAGACUAAAAAUAAAGGGAUGGAAAAAUAUAUUCCCUGCAAAUGGAAACUAAAAAUGAGUAGGAAUAGCUAUACUUAAUCAGAUAAAAUAGAUUUCAAGACACAUGCUACCACGCCCAGUUAAAUUUUUUUUUAAGUUUUUGUAGAGACAGGGGUCUUGCUAAGUUGCCCAGGCUGGUCUUGAACUCCCGGUCUCAGGCCAUCUUCCUGCAUCAGCCUCCCAAAGUGCUAUAGGCAUGAGCUAAUGGGCCUGCACUGUUUUUCUUUUAAUACUUUAGAGACAUUGUUCUACUAUCUCCUGGCUUGCAUUGUUUACACUGAGAAUCUGCUGUAAUCCUUAUGCUUGUCCCUCUGUUUGUAAUAUGCCUUUUUUCUCUUGCAUUUUUUACAUUUUCUCUUUGUCACUAAUUUUAAUCAAUUUGAUUAUGAGGUGCCUUGGCAUAGUUUUCUUCAUGUUUCUUUCACUUGGGGUUUGUUGAGCUUCUUCAAUCUAUGAGUUUACAGUUUUUGUCAAAUUUGGAGUUUUUAGCAAUUAUUUUUUCAGUUUCUUCUCUUUUUCAUUUCUUUCUCUCUUUCUUUCUUUCUUUUUACAAAUAGAGUCAAGGUCUUUCCCUGUUGCCCAGGCUUGUGCAGUGGUACAAUCAUAGCUCACUGCAGCCUUGAACUCCUGGCCUUAAGCAAUCCUUCUGCCUAAGCCUCCCAAAUAGCUAGGACUACAGGUUCAUGCCACCACACCUGGCUAAUAGUUUUCAUUUUUUGCAGAGUCAGGGCCUCACUUUGUGGCCCAAGAUGGUCUUGAACUCUUGGGCUCAAGCAAUCCUCCUGCCUUGGCCUCCCAAAGUGCUGGGAUUACAGGUGUGAGCCACCACACAUAGCAUAUUUUUAUUUUUUCUUAAUUUUUGUCUUUAUUUUGCUUUUUAGUUUUUCUUUCAAUCAGCUUUCUGAGGUUGAAUGCCCUUCUCUCUUGAAUAAUUCAGAGACUAUAAUUUUAUAUAUAUUAGGCCUCUUGAAGUUGUCCCAUAGCUAAUACUGUAUUUAUUUUCCAUUGCUUUUUUCUUUGUCUCAUUUUCAAUAGUUUAUAUUUCUUUAAGUUUACUAACCUUUUUUCUUUUGCAGCAUCUAAUCUACUGUUAACAUAGUCUCUAUUUUAUCUCAAAUAUUAUGUUUUUUAUUUUGUAUAAUUUCAUUUGAGUCUUAUUUUUUUCUCAGAAAUUGCAGGGAUGAAAGAGUCAUUUAAAUAUCUUCUUUAUAUUAACAUACUUAUGUUUCCUCUACCUUUGUGAACAUAUAAAACACAAUUUAUAAUGCAAUAUAUUCAUUAUAACUUUUAAUAUACUUGCUUAUGAAUUCUAUUCUCAAUCUCAUUUCUGGAUCCCUUUCAGUUAUUGAUAAUUUUUUUUUUUUUUUUUUUUGAGACGGAGUCUCGCUCUGUCGCCCAGGCUGGAGUGCAGUGGCGAGAUCUCGGCUCACUGC
This is a long non-coding RNA of Symphalangus syndactylus (siamang), 2506 nucleotides long. RefSeq lists it as uncharacterized. The record is from RefSeq and is a predicted model, not a curated record. Lineage: Eukaryota; Metazoa; Chordata; Mammalia; Primates; Hylobatidae.